CCAAUCCUGGAUUCGCAAGAAUCCUUCAACACCUGUGCACUUAUAAUUGUUUCUGGGUGCUUCGGCGCCCAACCUUAUAAACCUUACUAUUUGUCUGAUAUUAUUUUAUAAUAAAAA
This 117-nucleotide unclassified non-coding RNA is filed under the name soil metagenome. Its description in RNAcentral is "partial internal transcribed spacer 1". The record is from RNAcentral.